CAGGUCUGCAGUGAAACAGAAUGUUGACUGUGGUACAAGCUUACUGAUACCAAGGAAAACAGUUCACUGAUUGCAAGGAUACUGGUUUCAAGUCUGCCAACUGUGUGUGCCCUCCUGCUAGUAAGAAAGGAGUUAAGAGGAGUGGAGAUAAAAGCAGCUGGGAUCUAUCAAGCAAUCAGGGCCCUCUGCCAGGGAAGAGAGGGACUGGGGCUAAGAGGAUGGCUUUGAUCCUAGAAAGAGAGAACUGGAGGUCAGGAAGUAUGAAGUAACCUUGCAUCAAGUCAGACUGACAGAUAACUGCAUUGUCCUUGACCUCAGCCAUGCUUUGGAUCCUUGAGAAGUGAGUGUGUACAGAUAGCAGUAGAGGGGCAGUCUGACAAAAUGACAUCUGACAUGAAGCAAAGCGCACUGUCUUGGUGAGCAUUUGCCUGCAUUCCCAAGGAGGCUAAUCCAUCCUAGAUACAGUACGUGUAACUUCCGGGAAGUCUAAAGUGCUUCAACGAUAAGGAACGUGCGGUGUUCUCUGAAAUCGCUGUUUCACUCAGGCAGAUGUGCAUGCAUAUAUCUGCAGGAGACAACCAUAAAGCAUCAUCCUGAAGUCAUCCUAGCUAAAAAAAAAACAACCCAGCUCCAAAGAAACCACCAGAUGCUGAGACUUUACAUUCCUGAGGAAGAGAACUGCUCAGUAAAUACUCCUACACUGCCUCCAAGACUCAAAAAUCAAGAUAACUGGGUUUUCUCUUCUGCAAAAUGGAAGUGAAAAGGAAGCCUCUGUUCAGAAAGUGCCCAUGAAUACUCAAGGCAAGCUGUAGCACUGUCUGUUCAGUCCAGGUAAUUAAAAUCAAACAGAAUUGUGAAUGCCCUAUCAAAAGGAAUUGACUCAUGGCAAUUAAAGGCAAUUGCCUUAUAGUUAUACAGUAGUAAUAUAAGAUUGAGUCUACAACCACUGUUACUUGAAGCUAGCAUUAAUGAGAAACUGCAGUGAAGCUGAUCAUUGCCACUCAUUACUGAGACACAAUAAAGAAACCACGGAACUCAAGGAGGAUAAGUCCCAUAG
Molecule: long non-coding RNA, 1057 nt
Organism: Gallus gallus (chicken)
Lineage: Eukaryota; Metazoa; Chordata; Aves; Galliformes; Phasianidae
Source: Ensembl